AUCUUUUUAAUUUUAUUUUUUAUUUUCUUCUAUUUUUCUUUUUUUCUCUGUUUUGCACAUAUAUAGCACUUCCACUAGUUUCCUUAAAAACACUCAAGUAGCAGAUCAUUACAGACUAAUGGAACUCAUCAUCAGGCUGCGUACUCCAUGUGGGGUCUUGAGCAAUGUGAGAUUCCACGUGGUAGCAAAGAGAAACCAGGAUGUGAGUGCCUAUGGCUGGCAUCUCAGGCUCCAUCAAUUCUUUUUAUCUUUUCAUUGAGAAAGAUGUAAAAAGAGGGCAUGCAAUAGAGGUGGACCAGAUCCUGGGGCAUGGAGUGUGGUGAAGACAGCAGCUCAGAGAGGAAGGCAGCAGAGUCCUGCAAUGGCCAUGAUGCUCGCACAGAGAGGAGGAAACCCGCCCGCCUGGCUUCUGCACCAUGGGAG
Molecule: long non-coding RNA, 423 nt
Filed under: Bos mutus (wild yak)
Lineage: Eukaryota; Metazoa; Chordata; Mammalia; Artiodactyla; Bovidae
Description: lncRNA (ENSBMUG00000005601.1)
Source: RNAcentral